AGCAGCCGCGGUAAUUCCAGCUCCAAUAGCGUAUAUUAAAGUUGUUGCAGUUAAAAAGCUCGUAGUUGAAUUUCGGGAUCAGCGCGUCGGUCGUGCCUCCGGUAUGCACUGGCGCCGCUGGUUUCUCCCUUCUGAGGAACCGUGAUGUCAUUAAUUUGGUGUUGCGGGAAAUCAGGACUGUUACUUUGAAAAAUUAGAGUGUUUAAAGCGGGCACGCGCUUGAAUACAUUAGCAUGGAAUAACGAAAUAGGACGUUCGAUCUUAUUUUGUUGGUUUCUAGGAUUGACGUAAUGAUUAAUAGGGAUAGUUGGGGGCAUUAGUAUUCAAUUGUCAGAGGUGAAAUUCUUGGAUUUAUUGAAGACUAACUACUGCGAAAGCAUUUGCCAAGGAUGUUUUCAUUAAUCAAGAACGAAAGUUAGGGGAUCGAAGACGAUCAGAUACCGUCGUAGU
RNAcentral lists this ribosomal RNA (450 nucleotides) under uncultured Glomus. RNAcentral's name for it is "SSU rRNA". It matches the Rfam family "Eukaryotic small subunit ribosomal RNA", at positions 569 to 1024 of the family's 1831-position model. The record is from RNAcentral. RNAcentral also lists the same sequence under 1 other name. Lineage: Eukaryota; Fungi; Glomeromycota; Glomeromycetes; Glomerales; Glomeraceae.